GGAUUGAACGCUGGCGGCAUGCCUUACACAUGCAAGUCGAACGGCAGCACGGGGGCAACCCUGGUGGCGAGUGGCGAACGGGUGAGUAAUACAUCGGAACGUGUCCUUUCGUGGGGGAUAACCAGUCGAAAGACUGGCUAAUACCGCAUGAGAUCUCACGAUGACAGCGAGGGACCGCAAGGCCUCGCGCGAAUGGAGCGGCCGAUGUCGGAUUAGCUAGUUGGCGGGUAAGAGCCACCAAGGCGACGAUCCGUAGCUGGUUUGAGAGAACGACCAGCCACACUGGGACUGAGACACGGCCCAGACUCCUACGGGAGGCAGCAGUGGGGAAUUUGGACAAUGGGCGCAAGCCUGAUCCAGCCAUGCCGCGUGUGUGAAGAAGGCCUC
This 387-nucleotide ribosomal RNA is filed under the name uncultured soil bacterium. Its description in RNAcentral is "bacterial SSU rRNA". It matches the Rfam family "Bacterial small subunit ribosomal RNA", at positions 27 to 418 of the family's 1533-position model. The record is from RNAcentral.